Molecule: ribosomal RNA, 253 nt
Filed under: uncultured bacterium
Lineage: Bacteria
Description: partial 16S ribosomal RNA
Rfam family: Bacterial small subunit ribosomal RNA
Source: RNAcentral
UACGGAGGGUGCAAGCGUUAUCCGGAAUCACUGGGUUUAAAGGGGGCGUAGGCGGCUUGGUAAGUCAGAGGUGAAAGCUUCCCGCUUAACGGGAGAACUGCCUUUGAUACUGCCAGGCUUGAAUCGGCGCGAGGCAGGCGGAAUGUGACAUGUAGCGGUGAAAUGCUUAGAUAUGUCAUAGAACACCGAUUGCGAAGGCAGCCUGCCAGAGCCGAAUUGACGCUGAGGCACGAAAGCGUGGGGAGCGAACAGG